UGUGUGUGUCUGUGUAUGUGUGUCAGUGUGUGCGCACACACACUGACACACAUACACAGACACACACAUA
Molecule: non-coding RNA, 70 nt
Organism: Pelobates cultripes (western spadefoot toad)
Lineage: Eukaryota; Metazoa; Chordata; Amphibia; Anura; Pelobatidae
Source: the annotation of a GenBank genome assembly